This is a long non-coding RNA of Anolis carolinensis (green anole), 1199 nucleotides long. RefSeq lists it as uncharacterized. NCBI's taxonomy places the organism in Eukaryota, Metazoa, Chordata, Lepidosauria, Squamata, Anolidae. The record is from RefSeq and is a predicted model, not a curated record. The transcript is spliced from 3 exons.
GGGAACCAAGGGGUGGGGAAGCAGUUGGAGGAAUCUCCCCCUCCUCUCUCCAUUCCUUUCCAGCAUGCCCCAUCACUUUCACAGCGAUGGCACACAAUGACAGAGAGAGAAACAGCUGUAGAUCCGGGCAGGAGGCAGACUGUGUUGGAUAAUACAGAACGUUGGAUGAGCGAAGGUUGGAUAAGUGAGACUUUACUGUAUCUUCAUUUCACACACCCCAUAGCUGCACCCAUGUUUGAAUCCCAUCCUACUGAUGCUGUGGCACAAGCAUCCAGCAACAUGCUCAGAAGAGACGGAGACUAGACCCCAGGAAAAAGUUGCCAUUCCAUUAUUGUGGAAGCCACCAUCUGCAUAGAUUAAUGCUAGACACAUUUUGACAAAACUGAAGAGAACAGAGUCAGCAAACUGGAGUAUCUUUUCUGUUGUGUUUGUUGUCCUAUGAGUUGUGGGAGCUGUGAUAUGUUUUGUCUCUAUGGAAAGGGUGGGGCAGUCCUUAAUAAAAUCUUACCUAGAAUCAUAGGAUCAUAGAAUAAUAGAGUUGGAAGAGAUCACAUGGGCCAUCAAGUCCAACCCGUGUCAUGCAGGAAAUGCAUAAUCAAAGCACUCCUGACAGAUGGCCAUCCAGCCUCUGUUUAAAAGCCUCCCAACACUGCGAGGCAGAGAGUUCCACUGUUGAACAGCUCUUACAAUCAGGAAGUUCUUCCUAAUAUUCAGGUGAAAUCUCUUUUACCAUAAUUUGCAUCCAUUGCUCCAAGUCCUAGUGACAAUGCAAACAGAGACUUCUCCGUUUUGCCUAUAUCUGAUUAGGAAACUGUCAGAAGGCAGCCCAGGCAAAGGGAGGAAAUGAUAUUUUGCAUAUUUUCCUUUAGGAAACCAGUGUGUGCUGGCACAAAAGCUAAAACUUCAGGUUCAGCAACACCAGUGCUUAAUUUGCAAAAUAAUGCAGUUGAGUUUAUUCAUAGUGUCAUGUGUAGUAGAUUUUGUGUUCCAGGCUUCUGGUUGAUCUUUGAAGGAAAAACUAAGAAGAAAAAUAUGUUCAACCUUUUUUCUGCCAUUCUUUUUCCAAUUGAGCCCCUUUUUUGUACUCCUCCACCAUAGAUUUCCAGACACACACAAACAAGAAGAGGGAAUAGCACCAGAGUAAAGGGAGAUAUUAGAAGGCUUCAGACAAAGAUGGCAGAAGAAUUACCAGGACAAUG